RNAcentral lists this unclassified non-coding RNA (332 nucleotides) under soil metagenome. Its description in RNAcentral is "partial contains 5.8S ribosomal RNA, internal transcribed spacer 2, and large subunit ribosomal RNA". The stretch from base 1 to 120 matches the Rfam family "5.8S ribosomal RNA", at positions 35 to 154 of the family's 154-position model. The record is from RNAcentral.
GAUGAAGAACGUAGCGAAAUGCGAUACGUAGUGUGAAUUGCAGAAUUCAGUGAAUCAUCGAAUCUUUGAACGCACAUUGCGCCCGCCAGUAUUCUGGCGGGCAUGCCUGUUCGAGCGUCAUUUCAACCCUCAAGCACAGCUUGGUGUUGGGACUCGCGUUAAUUCGCGUUCCUCAAAUUGAUUGGCGGUCACGUCGAGCUUCCAUAGCGUAGUAGUAAAACCCUCGUUACUGGUAAUCGUCGCGGCCACGCCGUUAAACCCCAACUUCUGAAUGUUGACCUCGGAUCAGGUAGGAAUACCCGCUGAACUUAAGCAUAUCAAUAAGCGGAGGA